CGCGUAGGCGGCUUGGUAAGUCGGAUGUGAAAACCCGAGGCUCAACCUCGGGCGUGCACCCGAUACUGCCCGGCUAGAGGUAGGUAGGGGAGAUCGGAAUUCCUGGUGUAGCGGUGAAAUGCGCAGAUAUCAGGAGGAACACCGGUGGCGAAGGCGGAUCUCUGGGCCUUACCUGACGCUCAGGCGCGAAAGCUAGGGGAGUGAACA
Molecule: ribosomal RNA, 207 nt
Filed under: uncultured bacterium
Lineage: Bacteria
Description: partial 16S ribosomal RNA
Rfam family: Bacterial small subunit ribosomal RNA
Source: RNAcentral